This 164-nucleotide small nuclear RNA is filed under the name Castor canadensis (American beaver). Its description in RNAcentral is "U1 spliceosomal RNA (ENSCCNG00000021840.1)". It matches the Rfam family "U1 spliceosomal RNA". From Rfam's summary of the family: U1 is a small nuclear RNA (snRNA) component of the spliceosome (involved in pre-mRNA splicing). Its 5' end forms complementary base pairs with the 5' splice junction, thus defining the 5' donor site of an intron. There are significant differences in sequence and secondary structure between metazoan and yeast U1 snRNAs, the latter being much longer (568 nucleotides as compared to 164 nucleotides in human). Lineage: Eukaryota; Metazoa; Chordata; Mammalia; Rodentia; Castoridae. The record is from Rfam by way of RNAcentral.
AUAUUUACCUGGCAGGGGGGAUACCAUGAUCACGAAGGUGGUUUUCCCAAGGUGAGGCUUAUCCAUUGCACUCCAGAUGUGCUGACUCCUGUGAUUUCACCAAAUGCAGGAAACUUAACUGCAUAAUUUUUGGUAGUGGGGGACUGUAUUUGUGCUCCCCCCUG